GGGUUUGAUUAGGGCUCAGAAUGAACGUUGGCGGCGUGGAUUAGGCAUGCAAGUCGAGCGAGAAGUUUACUUCGGUAAAUGGACAGCGGCGAAAGGGACAGUAAUGUGUAGGUACCUACCCUCUGAUCUGGGAUAGCUGCGGGAAACUGCAGGUAAUACCGGAUAAUGUCUUCGGACCAAAGGUGUGAUUCCGUCUGAGGAGGGGCCUGCAUCCUAUUAGCUUGUUGGUGAGGUAAUGGCUCACCAAGGCAACGAUGGGUAGCGGGUGUGAGAGCAUGACCCGCGUCAUUGGGACUGAGACACUGCCCAGACAUCUACGGAUGGCUGCAGUCGAGAAUCUUCGGCAAUGGGCGAAAGCCUGACCGAGCGACGCCGCGUGCGGGAUGAAGGCCCUCGGGUUGUAAACCGCUGUCGUUGGGGAGGAAAUGCAAGAGGGCUAUCCCUUUUGUUUGACCGAUCCAAGGAGGAAGUACGGGCUAAGUUCGUGC
This 488-nucleotide ribosomal RNA is filed under the name uncultured bacterium. Its description in RNAcentral is "bacterial SSU rRNA". It matches the Rfam family "Bacterial small subunit ribosomal RNA", at positions 9 to 508 of the family's 1533-position model. The record is from RNAcentral.